UACGUAGGGACCAAGCGUUGUUCGGAUUUACUGGGCGUAAAGGGCGCGUAGGCGGUCUUGUCAGUCCCUUGUGAAAUCCCCCCGGCUCAACUGGGGAACUGCAAGGGAAACAGCAGGGCUUGAGUUCGGGAGAGGGAAGCGGAAUUCCGGGUGUAGCGGUGAAAUGCGUAGAUAUCCGGAGGAACACCGGUGGCGAAGGCGGGUCUCUGGGCCAGUAACUGACGCUGAGGAGCGAAAGCGUGGGGAGCGAACAGG
Molecule: ribosomal RNA, 255 nt
Filed under: uncultured bacterium
Lineage: Bacteria
Description: partial 16S ribosomal RNA
Rfam family: Bacterial small subunit ribosomal RNA
Source: RNAcentral